RNAcentral lists this ribosomal RNA (476 nucleotides) under uncultured bacterium. RNAcentral describes it as "partial 16S ribosomal RNA". It matches the Rfam family "Bacterial small subunit ribosomal RNA", at positions 28 to 507 of the family's 1533-position model. The record is from RNAcentral.
GACGAACGCUGGCGGCGUGCCUAAUACAUGCAAGUUGAGCGCUUAGGGUUUGUUCUUGUACCGUCUUCAUGUGCAGCGAACGUGUGUGUCACGCGUGUAGCCUCUCCUUUUCUGCGGGGUACCACCUUUAGACACGAAUUCUAAUACCGCAUAAACACUUUCUACACACUUUUUGAUUUUGAGUGAUGCCGUUUCAGCACUCAAGGAUGAAUCCGCAGUUUAUUAGCUUGUUGGUGGGGUAGAAGCUCACCAAGGCGAUGAUGGGUAGCAGGCCUGAGAGGGUGACCGGCCACAGUGGGACUGAGAUACGGACCAGACUCGUACGGGAGGCAGCAGUGGGGAAUAUUGCACAAUGGGAGGAAGCCUGAUGCAGGAACGCCGCGUGCGAGAUGACGGCCGUCGGGGUGUAAACCGAUUUCGCCUGUGACGAAGCGUGAGUGACGGUAAUGGGUAAAGAAGCAACGGCUAACUACGUG